CUCUCGGCAACGGAUAUCUCGGCUCUCGCAUCGAUGAAGAACGUAGCGAAAUGCGAUACUUGGUGUGAAUUGCAGAAUCCCGUGAACCAUCGAGUCUUUGAACGCAAGUUGCGCCCGAAGCCGUUCGGCUGAGGGCACGCCUGCCUGGGUGUCACGCAACGUC
This 163-nucleotide ribosomal RNA is filed under the name Mimosa pigra. Its description in RNAcentral is "5.8S ribosomal RNA". It matches the Rfam family "5.8S ribosomal RNA". Rfam says of the family: 5.8S ribosomal RNA (5.8S rRNA) is a component of the large subunit of the eukaryotic ribosome. It is transcribed by RNA polymerase I as part of the 45S precursor that also contains 18S and 28S rRNA. The record is from RNAcentral. Lineage: Eukaryota; Viridiplantae; Streptophyta; Magnoliopsida; Fabales; Fabaceae.